RNAcentral lists this transfer RNA (809 nucleotides) under Cereibacter sphaeroides. The record is from RNAcentral. Lineage: Bacteria; Pseudomonadati; Pseudomonadota; Alphaproteobacteria; Rhodobacterales; Paracoccaceae.
AGCCCCGGCGGAUCGCCGGGGCUUCUGUCGUUCUGAAACUCUUGCUGAAAAGGCGCUUCGUGAAAUCCGGUUCAGCCCCCGAGGCUGUCCAUCACGCCGUAGGCGCCGGCGACGCUGCCGAGCUGCCCGAUGCGGCCGCUGUCGCGGGCAUAGGCAUCGACCGCGGCCGAGGUGCCGGGCCCCCAGGCGCCGUCGAUGGAGCCCGAGUAAUAGCCGUAGCGCGCGAGCGAGAUCUGCACCUCGCGCCGCAUCUGGGGCGAGAGCUCGCGGAAGGCCUGGGCUGCGGGCGUGGAAUGGACGCUCGGGGCCACAUAGCGGGGCUGGUAGGUGACCUGACGCGGGGCGGUGGUGGCAUAGGUCGCCCGCGGCUGGACGUAAUAUUGCGGCUGGGCCGGCGGGGCCGCAUAGCGGGGCUGCUGCUGACCGAAGGGCCACUGGCCGUUGGCGCGCAUGUUCUGCAUCACCACGCCCGCAACGGCCGCGGUGGCGGCGCCGGCGAUGAAGGCCUUGUCCUUCUUGCCGAGCGCAUGGGCGGGCGCCGCGGCGGCGGGCACCAGCGAGAGGGCGGCCAGCGCGGCGAUGGCGGUCUUGCGAAGGUCGAUGGUCAUCUCUGUCUCCGUUGUUCGCGCCCCGGUCGGCAGGGGCGGUGGUAUCUGCUGCUCCGGAACAUGGGUCGAAGCGGCGUGUCAGGCAAAAACCCGGGGCUGCUAUCGGAUAACAGCGCCCCCGGAUCUCCCUCAAGUCACUGAAAUGUAAGGAAACGGAAAGCCGCUCAUCCCCCGGUUCCCGAGGCGGCAAAAACUUGCGCG